RNAcentral lists this long non-coding RNA (1008 nucleotides) under Bos indicus x Bos taurus (hybrid cattle). RNAcentral describes it as "lncRNA (ENSBIXG00000020443.1)". Lineage: Eukaryota; Metazoa; Chordata; Mammalia; Artiodactyla; Bovidae. The record is from RNAcentral.
GGACCCCAGGAAGACCUCCAAGCUGGACGCUCCCUUUCCCUACGCAAGCUGCUGGUCCCAGCCGGCACCACCGUCUCACCCAGUGAUCUACAGACACUCGAGGCCAGGGGCCGCGCCGCCGGAGGAGAUGAGUCACUCUGGCGUGGCCUCGGGCGCCGACCCCUGCCCCGCCCCCGUCGCCCAAGCUGCGGACCUCACGGCGCGAGACGCCCGGUCUCGGGCGGACCGAGGCGCCGGUCCGGGGGGCAGGCCAGCGCUCGCCCCGCCCGGUGCCCCGAGCUUCGGGGCCUGCGCCCGCCCGGGAGCAAUGGCGACGACGCCCAGGCUACCUCGCUGAUCCGGCCCCCAAGCAAUUCCCUCACGGGGUGCCGGGUUCCCGCGGGCUGCGGCGGCUUUAGCGCCGAUAUAGGCGUCCCCGCUCCCUCGCCCGUCCGCCCGCCCGCCCGCCCGCCCGCCCGGCGAUCCCGUCAGCUCCGGCCGCAGCCAUUUUGGAGCAAGCGGAGACAAAGAGCCAGUCAUUGCUGCCGCCCCCACCAGGCCCCGGCCGCGGUCCCCGCCCGUCUUGUCCUCCGGGUCGUCGGCCUCUGGCCCGUCUGGCAACCUGGACCCCAACAACCCCGCCAGCCCAAGGACGCCCGGGCCCUUAGCCCACUAGCCCGCGACCCCCGGCCGCCCGCCCGCGCCCCGGCUUCUGCCGCUCGCAGCCAUUGGCCGCGCCUUUUAAGCGCACGGCGCGGCCAAUCGCGGGACGCCGGGCAGCCGGGCGGGGGGGUGCCACGGCCAAUGGUGAGGCGCCGAGCGGCGGGCGGGGGCGGGCACGCCGCCGCGCCUGCGCACCGCGUUGCCACCGCCCUCCCCCCGCCCGGCCGCCCGCGCCCCCCGCCCGGCCGCCGCCCCCGCCCCGCCCGGCGCGCGCCGCCCCCCGCCCGCCCCCGCGGCCGCCCGCCCGCCCGCCCGCCCGCCCGCGCGGAGCCUCCUCCCCGCCCAGCGCCGGCCGAGCGGCGGCGG